UCGGCCUCUGCUUUGUGCUUUGUGUCUUAGCUUUAACGAAAUUGCCUGAUGAUCAGUGUAAGAAAUAGCAGCGGGUCUAAUAUCUGCUGCUGUAAUAUGUGGUCUUAUAUCGGAGCUGAUAAGAAAAUAAUCUAUUCUGCUUGCUAUGUUAAAGUUAUUUUUCCUUCUCCAGGUAAACUGUCUUUUGUUUGGGUUAAUUUCUCUCCAUAUAUCAACUAACUUGUGUUUUUUUAUUAAUUGUUUCAAACUAUUUACAGGUUUAUUAAAUUUUUGUGUACACGUACUUUUUCUGUCGUUUUCAG
This 302-nucleotide long non-coding RNA is filed under the name Mytilus galloprovincialis (Mediterranean mussel). The record is from RNAcentral. Lineage: Eukaryota; Metazoa; Mollusca; Bivalvia; Mytilida; Mytilidae.